GAUUCAUGAUAACUUCUCGAAUCGCACGGCCUUGCGCCGGCGAUGGUUCAUUCAAAUUUCUUCCCUAUCAACUUUCGAUGUUUGGGUAUUGGCCAAACAUGGUUGCAACGGGUAACGGAGGGUUAGGGCUCGACCCCGGAGAAGGAGCCUGAGAAACGGCUACUACAUCCAAGGAAGGCAGCAGGCGCGCAAAUUACCCAAUCCCGACACGGGGAGGUAGUGACAAUAAAUACUGAUACAGGGCUCUUUUGGGUCUUGUAAUUGGAAUGAGUACAAUUUAAAUCCCUUAACGAGGAACAAUUGGAGGGCAAGUCUGGUGCCAGCAGCCGCGGUAAUUCCAGCUCCAAUAGCGUAUAUUAAAGUUGUUGUGGUUAAAAAGCUCGUAGUUGAACCUUGAGCCUGGCUGGCCGGUCCGCCUCACCGCGUGUACUGGUCCGGCCGGGCCUUUCCCUCUGUGGAACCCCAUGCCCUUCACUGGGUGUGGCGGGGAACCAGGACUUUUAC
Molecule: ribosomal RNA, 504 nt
Filed under: uncultured fungus
Lineage: Eukaryota; Fungi
Description: SSU rRNA
Rfam family: Eukaryotic small subunit ribosomal RNA
Source: RNAcentral